RNAcentral lists this ribosomal RNA (253 nucleotides) under uncultured bacterium. RNAcentral describes it as "partial 16S ribosomal RNA". It matches the Rfam family "Bacterial small subunit ribosomal RNA", at positions 524 to 776 of the family's 1533-position model. The record is from RNAcentral.
UACGAAGGGGGCUAGCGUUGCUCGGAAUCACUGGGCGUAAAGCGCACGUAGGCGGAUCUUUAAGUCAGGGGUGAAAUCCCAAGGCUCAACCUUGGAACUGCCUUUGAUACUGGGGAUCUCGAGUCCGGAAGAGGUGAGUGGAACUGCGAGUGUAGAGGUGAAAUUCGUAGAUAUUCGCAAGAACACCAGUGGCGAAGGCGGCUCACUGGUCCGGUACUGACGCUGAGGAGCGAAAGCGUGGGGAGCAAACAGG